GACGAACGCUGGCGGCGUGCCUAAUACAUGCAAGUAGAACGCUGAAGAGAGGAGCUUGCUCUUCUUGGAUGAGUUGCGAACGGGUGAGUAACGCGUAGGUAACCUGCCUUGUAGCGGGGGAUAACUAUUGGAAACGAUAGCUAAUACCGCAUAACAAUGGAUGACACAUGUCAUUUAUUUGAAAGGGGCAAUUGCUCCACUACAAGAUGGACCUGCGUUGUAUUAGCUAGUAGGUGAGGUAAUGGCUCACCUAGGCGACGAUACAUAGCCGACCUGAGAGGGUGAUCGGCCACACUGGGACUGAGACACGGCCAGACUCCUACGGGAGGCAGCAGUAGGGAAUCUUCGGCAAUGGGGGCAACCCUGACCGAGCAACGCCGCGUGAGUGAAGAAGGUUUUCGGAUCGUAAAGCUCUGUUGUAAGUCAAGAACGGGUGUGAGAGUGGAAAGUUCACACUGUGACGGUAGCUUACCAGAAAGGGACGGCUAACUACGUG
Molecule: ribosomal RNA, 496 nt
Filed under: uncultured bacterium
Lineage: Bacteria
Description: partial 16S ribosomal RNA
Rfam family: Bacterial small subunit ribosomal RNA
Source: RNAcentral